RNA transcript from Rosa chinensis, 366 nucleotides. RefSeq lists it as uncharacterized. The transcript has 4 exons. The record is from RefSeq and is a predicted model, not a curated record. NCBI's taxonomy places the organism in Eukaryota, Viridiplantae, Streptophyta, Magnoliopsida, Rosales, Rosaceae.
AACAAUCCAUCCUGCUCAUGUGUACCAAUCUUGGCUUCAAGAUACUUCAGAUAUAGUUUCAAGAAGACGAAGAAACCAAAAGCCCAAGAACAUAAUGUCUACUAUGAAGAUUGGUAAACUCAUGGAGCAGCCAGCUAGUGUUCUCAUGGGUCGUUUAUUUAAACCCGGAAGUGGAGAAACAUAUUAUCCAGCUCCUCUCUUAGAGCUAUUCAAGGAAAAACAUACCCAUGACUCACCUUCAGCAUUAACCUCGCCACCUCUGCCUCCAGAACCAUCAUCAUGGUCACCACCUGAAAAACAAACUUAUCACGACCCGCCUGUUGAAGAUUUUCUUAGUGGAGGUGGCUCCCAGUCAUUUGUAACCCC